CUCCGGAUUGGGCGGUGACUGACGCCCUCCGCAAUUGGCGAGUUCGCGGUCCAGGCCGGCGCGCUCUCAAUCCGAUUAGUCCCAAGGCCCGAGAGGCGGGUCUUCGGAAGCCGGGACCCUGGUCCGGUCCGCCGCGGUUCACGCGGAGGGGUCUUCCCGGCGCGGGCGCCGCCCUGACGCUUCACUCGCGCUGUUUUGCACGUCAGCUUCGCGCCGCCUGGUCUCGGUCCACUGGGGCUGUUAUUGCCGCCGCUGCCGCCACCAAGCGCGCCUUUCCACCGCUCUCGGUGCCGGAGGACGCAGGGCUUUGACGUUCGGAGCCCUGCGUCUCACCCCGUGCGCUUUUACGUCACCUUUCACCGGUUCAACACCCUGUCCCUGGUCCGCGCAUGCGCCCUCCUCCUAAAGCCUCCGUUUGUUCCUAUGGCAACCGGUCCCUUGCGAAAGCUACUACCGCGCUUCGGCUUCUCUUUUGCUGGGAUUAGGUACGAGGGCAACCUCAGAGAGCCCUCGGCCUGGCCCCCCAAGUCCCCAAGCCCGGCGCCUCAUUCUGACAACAGCAGGAACAGCUCACCUCGGUUGACUACUCACUGCGCGUCGGGCCCCGUCCCAAACUGACCAUGAGAGCAUCGACUGGAGAUAAAUUAGCUGAUGGUUGGCCGGACACUGAUUAUAUGGAAACGAACUGGCCACGGCUUCUGUCCUCAGGGAGCCCCUGGUCUCAAGGAGAGCCGGACACGGAAGCGAAGGCACGCAGUACAGUAAGACAACGUGAAGACAAUAGGAUGCGUUGGAAUUUAGAGAUUAGAACCUGCAGGGUGAAGUCUGAUGGCUCUCAGUCCCGCAAGAACAGACUGGAACAGCCACCAGUUCCCGGCUCUCCCACUGGCUGACUGCUCAGCACGUGUCAUCGCCUGAGCCAGUUCCUUAUGAUAAAUAGCUUCACACACACACACACACACACACACACACACACACACACAUGCGUGCACACGCACACACACACACACACACACACACACACACCUCCUAUUGGGUCUGGUUCUCUGGAGAGCUGGCUGUGGUGAAGUGUGCAUGGGACCCCCUGUACAAUCUUCCAGAUGAUUCCAUGAGCCCGGAGCUGUUCUAAAUAAAAUAAGUGGCUGUAA
Suricata suricatta (meerkat) is the source of this 1148-nucleotide long non-coding RNA. RefSeq lists it as uncharacterized. The record is from RefSeq and is a predicted model, not a curated record. NCBI's taxonomy places the organism in Eukaryota, Metazoa, Chordata, Mammalia, Carnivora, Herpestidae. The transcript has 3 exons.